UUUUUAUUUCUUUCCCUAUUUUUUAUUUGUUUUUGUUUUUGUUUUUCUAUUUUUUUUAUUUU
This 62-nucleotide non-coding RNA is filed under the name Pseudopedinella elastica. Lineage: Eukaryota; Dictyochophyceae; Pedinellales. The record is from RNAcentral.